RNAcentral lists this ribosomal RNA (274 nucleotides) under uncultured bacterium. Its description in RNAcentral is "partial 16S ribosomal RNA". It matches the Rfam family "Bacterial small subunit ribosomal RNA", at positions 523 to 796 of the family's 1533-position model. The record is from RNAcentral.
AUACGAACUGUGCGAACGUUAUUCGGAAUCACUGGGCUUAAAGGGUGCGUAGGCGGCAAUGUAAGUGGGGUGUGAAAUCCCUCGGCUCAACCGAGGAACUGCGCUCCAAACUACAUCGCUUGAGGAAGACAGAGGUGAGCGGAACUGAUGGUGGAGCGGUGAAAUGCGUUGAUAUUAUCAGGAACACCGGUGGCGAAAGCGGCUCACUGGGUCUUUUCUGACGCUGAGGCACGAAAGCUAGGGGAGCGAACGGGAUUAGAAACCCCGGUAGUCC